CGCGUAGGUGGUAGUGUAAGUCUGGGGUGGAAUGCCGGGGCUUAACCUUGGAAUGGCCUUGGAAACUGCAUUACUUGAGUCAGUGAGGGGAGGGUAGAAUUCCUGGUGUAGCGGUGAAAUGCGUAGAUAUCAGGAGGAAGGCCUGUGGCGAAGGCGGCCCUCUGGUGCUGGACUGACACUGAGGCGCGAAAGCGUGGGGAGCAAACAGGAUUAGAUACCCUGGUAGUCCACGCCCUAAACGGUGGGCACUAGGUGUAGGGCUCGUAAGGGUUCUGUGCCGCAGGGAAACCAUUAAGUGCCCCGCCUGGGGAGUACGGCCGCAAGGUUGAA
RNAcentral lists this ribosomal RNA (330 nucleotides) under uncultured bacterium. Its description in RNAcentral is "bacterial SSU rRNA". It matches the Rfam family "Bacterial small subunit ribosomal RNA", at positions 568 to 898 of the family's 1533-position model. The record is from RNAcentral.